Molecule: ribosomal RNA, 300 nt
Filed under: uncultured Streptococcus sp.
Lineage: Bacteria; Bacillati; Bacillota; Bacilli; Lactobacillales; Streptococcaceae
Description: bacterial SSU rRNA
Rfam family: Bacterial small subunit ribosomal RNA
Source: RNAcentral
UUAAGUCCGCAACGAGCGCAACCCCUAUUGUUAGUUGCCAUCAUUCAGUUGGGCACUCUAGCGAGACUGCCGGUAAUAAACCGGAGGAAGGUGGGGAUGACGUCAAAUCAUCAUGCCCCUUAUGACCUGGGCUACACACGUGCUACAAUGGUUGGUACAACGAGUUGCGAGUCGGUGACGGCGAGCUAAUCUCUUAAAGCCAAUCUCAGUUCGGAUUGUAGGCUGCAACUCGCCUACAUGAAGUCGGAAUCGCUAGUAAUCGCGGAUCAGCACGCCCGCGGUCGAAUACGUUCCGGCCUU